This 730-nucleotide ribosomal RNA is filed under the name uncultured bacterium. RNAcentral describes it as "bacterial SSU rRNA". It matches the Rfam family "Bacterial small subunit ribosomal RNA", at positions 771 to 1501 of the family's 1533-position model. The record is from RNAcentral.
AACAGGAUUAGAUACCCUGGUAGUCCGCACCGUAAACGAUGGAUACUAGGCGUUCGGAGAGUUAACCCUCUGAGUGCCAAAGUUCACACAUUAAGUAUCCCGCCUGGGAAGUACGGUCGCAAGACUAAAACUCAAAGGAAUUGACGGGGGCCCGCACAAGCGGUGGAGUAUGUGGUUUAAUUCGAAGCAACGCGCAGAACCUUACCUGGCCUUGACAUCGCGAGACCGGUGCAGAGAUGUACCUUUCCCUUCGGGGACUCGUAGACAGGUGCUGCAUGGCUGUCGUCAGCUCGUGUUGUGAAAUGUUCGGUUAAGUCCGGCAACGAGCGCAACCCCUGUCCUUAGUUACCAGCAUUAAGUUGGGGACUCUAGGGAGACCGCCGGUGUUAAACCGGAGGAAGGCGGGGAUGACGUCAAGUCCUCAUGGCCCUUACGGCCAGGGCUACACACGUACUACAAUGGUAGAAACAGACGGCUGCAAGACCGCAAGGUGGAGCUAAUCCGUAAAACACUAUCUCAGUCCGGAUUGAAGUCUGCAACUCGACUUCAUGAAGUUGGAAUCGCUAGUAAUCGCAGAUCAGCACGCUGCGGUGAAUACGUUCCCGGGCCUUGUACACACCGCCCGUCACACCACGAAAGUGGUCUUAACCAGAAGUCAGUGAGCCAACCGCAAGGAAGCAGCUGACCAAGGUUGAGGCCGUGAUUGGGGUGAAGUCGUAACAAGGUAACC